UCAAGCCUGCGCGACUGGCGAUAAAUGGCCGCUCCAGCGGCCUGAGGUGGUGAACCACCGGGAAGCGCAGCCGAUGGCGCCUUGACCGUGAGUCGAUGGCGCUGUUGUUUCAGCCGUUCGCCUGGGCAGCCUUU
Molecule: non-coding RNA, 134 nt
Filed under: Burkholderiales bacterium
Lineage: Bacteria; Pseudomonadati; Pseudomonadota; Betaproteobacteria; Burkholderiales
Description: ZTP sequence
Rfam family: ZMP/ZTP riboswitch aptamer (pfl RNA motif)
About the family: Previously known as pfl RNA. ZMP is also known as AICAR.
Source: RNAcentral